UACAAAGUGAGCUCAAGGCCAGCCUGAACUGCUUAGCGAGACCCUGUCUCAAAAAGACAGAAAUAGAUGCGAUGAAAAUGCAUCAUUUGACUGCUGAUGGAGGUGCAAAAAUAGUUCAGCUCAUCCUGAGCAAAUGUGUUGGGACCAGGCGCAUGUCAUAUGUGUCCAAAACAAAAGCCAGCAAGCCUCAGCUUGGCCUCACAUCUUAUACACAUUUUCUCUAAAUGGAUUACAGCUCUGAUGUAGGUUUAAAAAUUGUAAUUCUGUCAGUCUUUCUGGGUUAGGCAAAAAGUUCUUAGGACAGCAAGAACAUGAUUUAUAAAAUCAAAAGUUGAAAAAUGGGACCUGAUCAAAAUUUAAAACUUUUGCUGUGGCAAAAAUGCUGCUAAGAGAAUGAAAAGACAAACUGCACGCCGGAGGAGGUGCUGGAGGGUCACGUGGCCCUUUGAGGAGUUGUGUCUAGGUUAGAACAAGAUUCUUCAAAGCUCAGUAAUGAGAAAAACCAGCUCUGCAGUGACAAACAGACAAAGGAGGUGGACAGUGCUGCAUCCACCCAAGAGGACCCACAGGCAGCAAAAUGCCGAGGAGGAGACGCGCUCAGCACCACUGGCCAUCAGAGAAAUGCAGGUGAAACUCGGGAUGAAGCCACCGUCAGGACAGCUGAAGCGAGGGACAGUGGCCGCACCUAGGGCCCGGUGCUGCUCAGCCGGGAUGCACCUGCGCUGCCACCCGGCACAAACUCUGUCACUUCCUCACACUGCAUGUGAGCUAGCAGGGCCACAGACUCCUGCUUGUCACCCCACAGAAGAGAGAACUGAAGCUCACACAAGCUCGUGUCAGGCCCUGCGAGAGUCUCAUCUUGACCAUGGUGCCUUACUCACGACUGUCAGGAACCGGAAGCAACCUCAGGGAUUCUCAGCCGAGGGGUGGCGAGAAGCGAUAGCGCCAUGCGGCGCUGUGACGGGGCAGCGGAAGGAGAGAGUAUGGGUCCACGGCAGAACUGGCGUGAUUUCCAGCUGCACGUGCCGAGCGAGUGAUGCUGCCCUCGGAGGGCUGAAACAGUAUGGUUCACCUACGUGGGCUUUUCAAUAGCACCCAGCCCUGGUGGAGGGGACCAAGGCAGUGAUGGCCUCGGCUCGGGUGUGGCCUUGGGCACAGUGCAGCAGAGGGAGCGAGAGGAGGGCCGGGUGGUCUCGGAGCGCUCUGCUGUGGAUCGUGGCGGUGCUCACACACUCACGGUGGGAAAUGUGUGGGUCUGUAUGGCAGGAGCAGUCCGUUCUACUGUCGGAUAAUUUGUCAAAUAAAAGCUUUGAAAUGCAUUGGUCAGGAUGCUUUAAGACCUUGGUUUCCUAUGCCUCAGAACAAACCCAAUUAAAAAUAUUGCAUAAAACAA
This is a long non-coding RNA of Chinchilla lanigera (long-tailed chinchilla), 1393 nucleotides long. RefSeq lists it as uncharacterized. The record is from RefSeq and is a predicted model, not a curated record. Lineage: Eukaryota; Metazoa; Chordata; Mammalia; Rodentia; Chinchillidae. The transcript has 2 exons.